AGUCGAGGGGCAGCACGAAUACAAUAUUUGGUGGCGACCGGCAAACGGGUGCGGAACACGUACGCAACCUUCCCAUAACUGGUGAAUAGCCUUCCGAAAGGGAGAUUAAUACACCGUAACAUAGUGGAGUGGCAUCACUCUACUAUUAUAGCUUCGGCGGUUUUGGAUGGGCGUGCGGCUGAUUAGGUAGUUGGCGGGGUAACGGCCCACCAAGCCUCCGAUCAGUAACUGGUGUGAGAGCACGACCAGUCACACGGGCACUGAGACACGGGCCCGACUCCUACGGGAGGCAGCAGUAAGGAAUAUUGGUCAAUGGACGCAAGUCUGAACCAGCCAUGCCGCGUGAAGGAUGAAGGCCCUCUGGGUUGUAAACUUCUUUUAUCUGGGACGAAAAACGGACUUUCUAGUUCACUUGACGGUACCAGAGGAAUAAGCACCGGCUAACUCCGUGCCAGCAGCCGCGGUAAUACGGAGGGUGCAAGCGUUAUCCGGAUUUACUGGGUUUAAAGGGUGCGUAGGUGGGUAGGUAAGUCAGUGGUGAAAUCUUCAAGCUUAACUUGGAAACUGCCAUUGAUACUAUUUAUCUUGAAUACUUUGGAGGUAAGCGGAAUAUGUCAUGUAGCGGUGAAAUGCUUAGAUAUGACAUAGAACACCAAUUGCGAAGGCAGCUUACUACACAGUUAUUGACACUGAGGCACGAAAGCGUGGGGAUCAAACAGGAUUAGAUACCCUGGUAGUCCACGCCCUAAACGAUGGAUACUCGACAUUAGCGAUACACAGUUAGUGUCUGAGCGAAAGCAUUAAGUA
RNAcentral lists this ribosomal RNA (807 nucleotides) under uncultured Bacteroidota bacterium. RNAcentral's name for it is "bacterial SSU rRNA". It matches the Rfam family "Bacterial small subunit ribosomal RNA", at positions 60 to 866 of the family's 1533-position model. The record is from RNAcentral. Lineage: Bacteria; Pseudomonadati; Bacteroidota.